This is a long non-coding RNA of Nylanderia fulva, 1434 nucleotides long. RefSeq lists it as uncharacterized. Lineage: Eukaryota; Metazoa; Arthropoda; Insecta; Hymenoptera; Formicidae. The record is from RefSeq and is a predicted model, not a curated record.
UUCUGCGGGUAGUAGGAUGCUCUGACCUGUUGCAAUUCAGCAACACAAGAGGCUUGAGCUCCUCUUGAGAAGUCGGUGCAGCAGGGUUCGGAGAGAGAGCAAGAAAGAGAGAUAGUCGGCCUCGAGAAUGAUUCGAGGAGAUCGAGUAUGUUCGAUCCCGUUGCCGACUGAUUUGGGAGAAAUCUCAGACUCGGGUACAAUGCUGGAAAUGCGGCAAGGUUCGCCGCGGAGACCGAGUAUUUUUGGUCUCUAUUUCCUGAGUAUCGUUCCGGAGAUCUGGAUCUGGCGGAAUCAGGAGAUGGAAUCCUCUUUGCUAGGAUUUCGUCGCUAUUUAUACGCUUAGAUCUGCGGCGAAUUAUUUGGCGGCUCGAUAACGGUAUACGUACUUGCCGACGGCGGCAUUCGGCUGAAUCCGUCGGCCGUUGGGCGCGCUCGGCGGUACGUAUACGUAUAUAGUACCUUGAGCCGUGUAAAAUCAAAGUCGCUUUUCGGUGAUUAUAAUGAGAAAAAUUAGAGGGCGCAUAUGCGCCUGCUGCGCUGCCCGGCCGGUGUUCGCCGGGCGCACUUCCGACAUUCGGUCGGGAACGAUGGGAGGGUGCACCGUUACAGUACUUAUAAGAUAAUGACUUGUUAAAAUCUGGCGCACAAUGUUUAUAGCAAUUAUGACUUUUUCUUGACGACAUGAAAUGUAUAUAUCUAUUUUGUUUUGCUUAUUUUACACUGUAUAUCGACACAAAAAUAGUUUUAUUGCCAUUAUUGCUAGUUUACUUAAUCACCGUGUCUUUUGUGGUGCGUGUGCUGAUGCUGAGCUAUCUUGUCCGGCGGGCACCGGAAUAGGAUAUUGAUUUUUCGGAUGGUGCUUUGUACCCAUGAUAAUUUGUCUUUUGAUGUUGAUUUAACCACAUGCUGAAGAUGGUCCGAACGUAGAACCGAAACGUACUAAUAAAUUAAAUAAUUUAUCAUUAUUUGUUUGUGUAUCAAUUACCACGCCUGGCUCUUAAUUGGCUCUGUUUUCCGCAUAUUAUAGAAAUGUAUAUUACUACAUAUAAAAAAAUUAAAAAAUAGUAUGUUAAUAAUAGAAAAUAAUUAAUUAAUUUAUCGAUUUUUUGUUAACAUAUAAGGAUUGAAAUCUCGAAUUUUUAAUUUUUAGUUGAAUCAUAAGUAAAGAAUCUACAUAAUUAAUAUAAAAAAUUCGACUGAAUGAAAUGGACUCAAAUUAUAAGAAUUGAUAGUUUAUAGUUUUAUUUAUUAUUACAAGUUUUUCUAUAUAUAACCAUAAGUAAUGAAAAAUAAUAUAUAUCUGCUAGAACAUAUAAUGUGUAGGGGUUGAGCAUGUUCUAUUUUAUAGCAACAUGUCUCGUCUAUACUAUCAUCAAUGUUAAUAAGCUAUAUUAUAUUUAUGUACAAUCAUUGAAUAAAGGGUAAAGAAAGAAA